RNAcentral lists this ribosomal RNA (494 nucleotides) under uncultured bacterium. Its description in RNAcentral is "partial 16S ribosomal RNA". It matches the Rfam family "Bacterial small subunit ribosomal RNA", at positions 28 to 507 of the family's 1533-position model. The record is from RNAcentral.
GACGAACGCCGGCGGCGUGCUUAACACAUGCAAGUCGAACGGAAAGGCCUGCUUUCCCUUGUGGAUUGCGGGUGCUCGAGUGGCGAACGGGUGAGUAACACGUGAGUGAUCUGCCCCCAACUUGGGUAUAAGCCUGGGAAACUGGGUCUAAUUCCCGAUAGGACUGCAGGGUGGUGCCUGUGGUGGAAAACGAUUUUCUAGUGGUUGGGGAUGAGCUCGCGGCCUAUCAGCUUGUUGGUGGGGUAAUGGCCUACCAAGGCGGCGACGGGUAGCCGGCCUGAGAGGGUGGACGGCCACAUUGGGACUGAGAUACGGCCCAGACUCCUACGGGAGGCAGCAGUGGGGAAUAUUGCACAAUGGGCGGAAGCCUGAUGCAGCGACGCCGCGUGGGGGAUGACGGCCUUCGGGUUGUAAACUCCUUUCGACCGCGAGGAAGCCACCUGGUUGGAAGGGUGGUGACGGUAGUGGUAGAAGAAGCACCGGCUAACUACGUG